RNAcentral lists this ribosomal RNA (253 nucleotides) under uncultured bacterium. RNAcentral describes it as "partial 16S ribosomal RNA". It matches the Rfam family "Bacterial small subunit ribosomal RNA", at positions 524 to 776 of the family's 1533-position model. The record is from RNAcentral.
UACAGGGGGUGCAAACGUUGCUCGGAAUCAUUGGGCGUAAAGCGCACGUAGGCGGUUCGUUAUGUCGGAUGUGAAAGCCCCUGGCUUAACCGAGGAAGUGCAUCCGAAACUGGCGAGCUAGAGUACUAAAGAGGAUCGCGGAAUUCCCGGUGUAGAGGUGAAAUUCGUAGAUAUCGGGAGGAACACCGGUGGCGAAGGCGGCGAUCUGGGUAGAUACUGACGCUGAGGAGCGAAAGCAUGGGGAGCGAACAGG